AUACCUUUCUCGGCCUUUUGGCUAAGAUCAAGUGUAGUAUCUGUUCUUAUCAGUUUAAUAUCUGAUAUGUGGGCCAUUGGUCCACAUGAUAUUAAAUUUAUUUUUUAAGGGGAGAGUCCAUCACAGUAGCUUGCUACUGGGCCUCUCAUGUGUUGCCUAUGCGUUGCACUAUAGCUUGGGCUUGACACACCCCAC
Molecule: small nuclear RNA, 195 nt
Filed under: Cajanus cajan (pigeon pea)
Lineage: Eukaryota; Viridiplantae; Streptophyta; Magnoliopsida; Fabales; Fabaceae
Description: U2 spliceosomal RNA
Rfam family: U2 spliceosomal RNA
About the family: U2 is a small nuclear RNA (snRNA) component of the spliceosome (involved in pre-mRNA splicing).
Source: Rfam by way of RNAcentral